Molecule: ribosomal RNA, 253 nt
Filed under: uncultured bacterium
Lineage: Bacteria
Description: partial 16S ribosomal RNA
Rfam family: Bacterial small subunit ribosomal RNA
Source: RNAcentral
UACGUAGGGUGCAAGCGUUAAUCGGAAUUACUGGGCGUAAAGCGUGCGCAGGCGGUUAUGUAAGACAGGUGUGAAAUCCCAGGGCUUAACCCUGGAACUGCAUUUGUGACUGCAUAGCUAGAGUACGGUAGAGGGGGAUGGAAUUCCGCGUGUAGCAGUGAAAUGCGUAGAUAUGCGGAGGAACACCGAUGGCGAAGGCAAUCCCCUGGACCUGUACUGACGCUCAUGCACGAAAGCGUGGGGAGCAAACAGG